AAACUCUUCAGGACCUGAAUACAGCAGAGUGACUAUUCCAGUUUGAAAGGACAUUCAAGAGCACAAAAGACCAGUGACUUCUGGGGAUAUUUCCUGAUGUUCUUGGCACUUUUACAAUUUCUGCUGUUUUUCCUUUUUUACGUAAAUCCUCCCCUAGUAACCAGCAUGGGGUAUUUCUGAAGUUCAUUUAGUGCCAUUUUUCUGUAUUGUCCAACAGAUUGUUUCUAGUACCUUCUGAUGUGUGGCAGCUGUGUUUUAACAAUUCCAAGUAUACCAUAUGAAAGUAAUCAAAGACAUUAACACACUAGUGUCCGCAGCUCUAGGGGUAUUUCCUGCAUGUGGUACUGGUAGGCCAUGUGAAGUUGUACAUAAAUUACUUUGUUUUGUUUUUUUGGU
Molecule: long non-coding RNA, 396 nt
Filed under: Homo sapiens (human)
Lineage: Eukaryota; Metazoa; Chordata; Mammalia; Primates; Hominidae
Description: HSALNT0350872
Source: RNAcentral